RNAcentral lists this long non-coding RNA (209 nucleotides) under Elaeis guineensis (African oil palm). RNAcentral describes it as "long non-coding RNA (EGUI_LNC016173)". Lineage: Eukaryota; Viridiplantae; Streptophyta; Magnoliopsida; Arecales; Arecaceae. The record is from RNAcentral.
GGGGCUAUGGACUUGGUUUUUCUGAAUUUUGAAGGAAAAACAUCUUAUUAUUCGAAGCUACAUUACCUUACUUAUACAAUAACUUGUACAUUAGAUUAUCCAAAUAAAAUUACAAUCAAUAUUGAUGGGUUGGGUCGAGCCUCUAUUCUACAAACAGGAAAGGAAUUGGAGUCCAAUAUUAUAUUCAGAUUGAGUUGCGUCAUUGAGCA